CCCUUAGACGUUCUGGGCCGCACGCACGCUACACUGACGAAGGCAACGAGCUUUCCUUUACCGAAAGGUACGGGUAAUCUUUUGAAACUUCGUCGUGCUGGGGAUAGAUCCUUGCAAUUUUUGAUCUUAAACGAGGAAUUCCUAGUAAGCGCAAGUCAUCAACUUGCGUUGAUUACGUCCCUGCCCUUUGUACACACCGCCCGUCGCUACUACCGAUUGAAUGGUUUAGUGAGGCCUUCGGAUCCGCGACUCGUUUUGUGGAGAAGUUGGACAAACCCAGUCAUUUAGAGGAAGUAAAAGUCGUAACA
Molecule: ribosomal RNA, 308 nt
Filed under: uncultured eukaryote
Lineage: Eukaryota
Description: partial 18S ribosomal RNA
Rfam family: Eukaryotic small subunit ribosomal RNA
Source: RNAcentral